Daphnia pulex (common water flea) is the source of this 473-nucleotide long non-coding RNA. RefSeq lists it as uncharacterized. Lineage: Eukaryota; Metazoa; Arthropoda; Branchiopoda; Diplostraca; Daphniidae. The record is from RefSeq and is a predicted model, not a curated record. The transcript has 4 exons.
GCGAGGGCAGCGCUGUUGAGCCGCCUAGUGACUGUCAGCCGAAAGUCGAAAAUCUAUAGUGUGGGUUAAGAAACCUAGGUUGCAGCACCUUCGCUGAAUACCGAAGCAAUCUCGAGCGAAGACGAAGAGUUUCCUCGUGAAAAAAACUUAAAAAAAAAACAAGUCAUGGCUGCUGCUCAAUCCAGUUCGAAAAUCGUUCAGUUAUUUCGACGAGGAUGUAUCGAGGUUCCUGAUAUUAUGAUAGGAAUGUGUCUUACAAUUUCGGGGAUUUGCUUAGCUAGUUAUGGAGUCUAUCGAUCGUCGAAGAUGGAAGUAUCAAGACCUUUUAAAGAUCAUUAUAUAGUUAAAAGAGAUGAUGAUCCAGAUGCAGCGAAAUAUAUCAGAUUUCAUCAGAAUCCAAAAUAUUAAUUUAGUGUAUUGUUGUAUCAUAGAGGAACACUUUUGAAUGAUAGAGAAUACAUUGUACAAGCUAA